Molecule: ribosomal RNA, 254 nt
Filed under: uncultured bacterium
Lineage: Bacteria
Description: partial 16S ribosomal RNA
Rfam family: Archaeal small subunit ribosomal RNA
Source: RNAcentral
CCCCGGCGCCACAAGUGGCAACCGUAUUUAUUGGGCCUAAAGCGUUCGUAGCUGGUCUGGUAAAUUUCUUGUGAAAUCGUGGUGCUUAACAUUACGACGUGCAGGAAAGACUGUCAGACUUGGGACCGGGAGGGGUCAGGGGUAUGCCCAGGGGAGCGGUAAAAUGUUAUAAUCCUGGGUGGACCACCUGUGGCGAAGGCGCCUGACCAGAACGGAUCCGACAGUGAGGAACGAAAGCUAGGGGAGCAAAACGG